GCAGCAGCCGCGGGAAUACGUAGGGUGCGAGCGUUAAUCGGAAUUACUGGGCGUAAAGCGUGCGCAGGCGGUUUGUUAAGACAGAUGUGAAAUCCCCGGGCUUAACCUGGGAACUGCAUUUGUGACUGGCCGGCUAGAGUAUGGCAGAGGGAGGUGGAAUUCCACGUGUAGCAGUGAAAUGCGUAGAUAUGUGGAGGAACACCGAUGGCGAAGGCAGCCUCCUGGGCCAAUACUGACGCUCAUGCACGAAAGCGUGGGGAGCAAACAGGAUUAGAUACCCCAGUAGUCCCUGUCUCUUAUAC
Molecule: ribosomal RNA, 302 nt
Filed under: uncultured bacterium
Lineage: Bacteria
Description: partial 16S ribosomal RNA
Rfam family: Bacterial small subunit ribosomal RNA
Source: RNAcentral